GGCACGUCUGCAGCCAUUUUGGCACUGUGUCUCUGGAGACACCCCGAGAGUUCACCCCCUCGCAGGCAAAACUUUGGCCAAUAAAGUUCCAUCUUAAACUCCUGAAAGCUUCUGACAUUUGUUACUCGUAUUGGGGAAUGCUACAUUUUGGAGGCCCCAGCGAGAUCUCCCUCAGAGUUUCGGGUUGGAAGCUGGAGGGACGGCUGGGGCUGAAUACAACCUGACCAGUAUGCCGACAGUCCAGUAAUGCCAGCCUUUGGAUGCCAAGCCUGCGACUUCCUGGUGACAGCCAACUGACCAGGACCCUGUAAGGUCUUUCCCCUUACAGGAAGGACUCCCUCCGUGCUGCACCCCCCCCCUCUGGGCACCCCCUAUCCCAAGGGUAGAUAGGACAGCAUCCAUUUCCAGCUGGAAGGAGUUAAAAGAAGAUGAGACCUCCGUCCAUUUUCCUUUAUAUGAUCAUGAAGUCGGUGUAUAUCUGAAAGGAGGAAUAUUGAUACAGGGUGCAUCCAAGGGGGGCCCCAGAAAGGAUUUGGGAUGGAAUCCAAAGUUCGGGUGUCCAAGAAAUAUUGAGAUGUAUGCACCCCCCCAGGAGGAGGAAACGAAUGGAGCAGGGCCAUUGAGAGCUGUUUUGCGUAACAACGGGUUUGCAGCUGACCUCUAGAGUGAUUAUUUGACAUAUGGCCUUUGGCUAGUUUAGUGGAUGUGUUAAAUAGUAUAGCCAAGCUUAGAGCAGGGGAAAUAAAGUCACUUACCCAGGAUAUAACUAGGAGCAGAGCCCCUGAGGGGGGAGGCCUGUAUAAGAGCUUAAAAAAGAUCAGCUCCAGGACAUAAGGAGAUAACUACUCAGGUGAAAGAGGGAGCCACGUGGCUUAGGGCAAAGUGACCACCCCUGCAGCUUUAGUAGAAGAAGCCCACAGGGCUUUGGGUGCCCCCUUUGGCCGCGUGGCCUAGAAAACAAGAGAAACUUUGACUAGAACUUGAUGCAGAAGAACUCUUGCCAGUAGACUGUAAAAGAAUGCCACAUAACUUUGGAUUAACUAGAGAUCCUGCCUGAUAGAGCUGACAGUGCCAGCAACUUCAAACACAGAUGUGUGCUCUUUCUUGAUUUACAGUACCCGGAGUUGGGACAGUGUGAGUAGGGAGCAAAGACAUGAAAGUAUUUUAGGUUGAAAAACUUGGUUUCUGACUGCUCUUUUACAAUAAUAGCACUGGAAUUAUAGGUGAUAGCAAGGGGGACUUUGUGCAGCACUAAGAGAAGAAUGCUGUUUUCAUGCCAACCACUUAGGAGCAAUAAGAGACAAUGACUCCAGCUAGUAUGCCUCAAUGUUCAGAACCUCCCCCUGGCUGACCACCCUAAUCUCAGCCAUAGCUGGGCCACAAUUAAUAUUAAUAUUAGUACUAACAAUUGGGCCCAUAAUACUCAACAAGAUCCUCGCCUUCAUCAAAGAACGGGUAGAAGUAGUCAAGCUAAUGGUCCUGUCCCAGCCAUACACCAUAUUACCUGGGGAUGAGACCAAAUCAAUGGUUUGAUUCAUAAGCAAGAGAAGUGGGGAAUGUUAGGCCCGGAAUUAGAUAAAAGUAGCCAAGAGGAACCCGAGGCAGGCUCCAGACUGUCUCAGCAAAGAAGAUAGAAAGUACAAAGAGUGCUGAACAAGAUAAACCACCUUGUGCAUGACCUUGUCCUUGCAGAAAAGUAUCCAUUGUUGCAAGCAGAGAACAUAGCCAUGUGUGUUCUCUCGGGAUAGCCAAUUGCUAACAGCUACGUCUGCUUCUGUAUUUGCUUGCUUGCUCACCCCAAUAAAAACCCUAGGCUGUAAGCACCAGGCACGACUCUCAUCUGCAGCCAUUUUGGCACCAUGUCUCUGGAGACACCCCGAGAGUUCACCCCCGCACAGGUAAAACUUUGAAACUUUGGCCAAUAAAGUUCCAUCUUAAAAUCCUGAAA
Long non-coding RNA from Artibeus jamaicensis (Jamaican fruit-eating bat), 1948 nucleotides. RefSeq lists it as uncharacterized. NCBI's taxonomy places the organism in Eukaryota, Metazoa, Chordata, Mammalia, Chiroptera, Phyllostomidae. The record is from RefSeq and is a predicted model, not a curated record. The transcript is spliced from 2 exons.